This 279-nucleotide ribosomal RNA is filed under the name Candidatus Giovannonibacteria bacterium RIFCSPHIGHO2_02_43_16. Its description in RNAcentral is "partial 23S ribosomal RNA". It matches the Rfam family "Bacterial large subunit ribosomal RNA", at positions 2623 to 2915 of the family's 2925-position model. Lineage: Bacteria; Candidatus Giovannoniibacteriota. The record is from RNAcentral.
GAGACAGGUUGGUCUCCUAUCUACUGCAUCCGUUGAUUAUUGAGGGGGCUUCUCUCUAGUACGAGAGGACCGAGAGGAGGCGACCUCUGGUGUACCAGCUGUCCUGCCAAGGGCAUCGCUGGGUAGCUAUGUCGCUGAGUGAUAAGCGCUGAAAGCAUCUAAGCGCGAAGCACGCCCCAAGAUUAGUAAUCGUUUAGACUCGUGGGAGAUUACCACGUUGAUAGGCUCUAGGUGUAAGUCCUGUAAAGGAUUUAGCCGAGGAGUACUAAUAAGUCGAAA